AUACUUACCUGGCAGAGGAGAUACCAUGAUCACGAAGGUGGCUUCCCAGGGUGAGGCUUAUCCAUUGUACUCCGGAUGUGCUGACCCCUGUGAUUUCCCCAAAUGUGGGAAACUCGACUGUAUAAUUUGUGGUAGUGGGGACUGAAGAAAAAAAAAAAAAAAGAAUACCUG
This is a small nuclear RNA of Suncus etruscus (white-toothed pygmy shrew), 171 nucleotides long. RefSeq annotates it as U1 spliceosomal RNA. The transcript has a single exon. NCBI's taxonomy places the organism in Eukaryota, Metazoa, Chordata, Mammalia, Eulipotyphla, Soricidae. The record is from RefSeq and is a predicted model, not a curated record.